AGAGCUAAUACACGCAUUCGAGCUCCGACCGAAGGGACGAGCGCAUUUAUUAGAACUGCGCUUGCGCGCACGGUUGGUGACUCUGAAUAACUCAGCUGAUCGCUGUACCGGCGACAUGUCUUUCAAGUGUCUGCCUUAUCAACUUUCGAUGGUAGUUUAUGUGACUACCAUGGUUGCAACGGGUAACGGAGAAUCAGGGUUCGACUCCGGAGAGGGAGCCUGAGAAACGGCUACCACUU
This 239-nucleotide ribosomal RNA is filed under the name Theristus pertenuis. RNAcentral describes it as "partial small subunit ribosomal RNA". It matches the Rfam family "Eukaryotic small subunit ribosomal RNA", at positions 160 to 415 of the family's 1831-position model. Lineage: Eukaryota; Metazoa; Nematoda; Chromadorea; Monhysterida; Xyalidae. The record is from RNAcentral.